AUGACCAUGGCCAUGACCUUGGCAAUGAUUAAGCCAGCUUGGCUAUUAUUGCACGAUUAAAGCGGUUGUCACCAUGUGCAUAAUGUGGAGAGUCGUACUUUGCAGUUAUAAUGUGUCUUAUUAAUUUGGUAACAAACACUGACUCUAUCCUUUAUAAAGAAGGUCGGGGGACCCUCAGGUAGGUUAUUCUUUCUACUCUACUCUCUCUAAAGACUCUUUCUCUCUUUCACUAUUUUCUUAGAGUUCGACUGACUUGAGCAUCGAAAGAUUUUCCACCGGAUAACCUCCGGCAAGAGGACUUUCUUUUCAGGUUGGUCCAGCAUUCUAAAAGCUUAGUCAAGUUCGCCACCAGCAUCCCCCUAGUCAGCAAUCGACAUCCCAUUUAUCAGCCCCAACUCUUUAGCUCAGAGUGAAACCAACCUCACCAUUUGACCUCGGUUACUUACCGACCUCAA
RNAcentral lists this long non-coding RNA (455 nucleotides) under Phoenix dactylifera (date palm). RNAcentral's name for it is "long non-coding RNA (PDAC_LNC007145)". The record is from RNAcentral. Lineage: Eukaryota; Viridiplantae; Streptophyta; Magnoliopsida; Arecales; Arecaceae.